RNAcentral lists this transfer RNA (96 nucleotides) under Actinoplanes sp. OR16. RNAcentral's name for it is "tRNA-SeC". It matches the Rfam family "Selenocysteine transfer RNA". The record is from RNAcentral. Lineage: Bacteria; Bacillati; Actinomycetota; Actinomycetes; Micromonosporales; Micromonosporaceae.
GGAGGCGUUCAGGUUGCUGGUGCUCCUCGCGGUCUUCAACACCGACGUGAUCCGGGAUCCGGGUCAGGCGGGUUCGAUUCCCGUCCGCCUCCGCCA